Molecule: long non-coding RNA, 2416 nt
Organism: Carassius gibelio (silver crucian carp)
Lineage: Eukaryota; Metazoa; Chordata; Actinopteri; Cypriniformes; Cyprinidae
Exons: 2
Source: RefSeq, a predicted model, not a curated record
UUUUAAAUCUCCGAAUUGAAAUAAUUAUGCUUCAUCCUAUUUAAAAUGUAAAUGAUGAUGUCAUUAUAAUAGUUUGCAUACUGAAUUGUGAUUGGUCUUCCUCUCUUAUAUUUAUUCACCCUAUAGCUGCUGUGAAGGUUGCAAGAAGAUGUGUGGUGACCAAUGUCAGACUGUGAAAGUGUUCAGGAAACCUGUUUGAAAACGGUAAAGUCAGCGCAGGUGCGUCCAUCUCAAACAUGCAGGACUUCGUAACACAACACUCUGGACAGGUGCUUUAACUCAGAUUAAUUCAUCUGAACUGGACGGAGGAUUAGCGCAGUCAUUGCGCUCUUAUCUGCAGCGCUGCCUGGACACCAGCGUUGCUGCGCUACCAAAUGAAGCUUUCUAAUGUGGACUGAAGGGUGACAGCUUGUGUUUCUUGCUAAUGCACUGCACACACACACACACACACACACACACAGCUUCAUAUGACAUGGCAGCUCUGUUCCAGAACUUAAUGAGCACCCUGCUGCCUAACAUGGGCAGUGGCUUUAACUGAUUUAGCUUUAGGAACCAGACUUUACACAGGAUUUCAAGUGGUCAUAUAUCUAGUGCAAAAAUAUCCUGUUAAAUUUACAGUAAAAAACUGGCAGCUAAAGUACAUCUAAAUUUACAUUACUUUUUAAAAUGAUAUUUAUUUUUUACAGUUUGUGUGUCAGAAUAUAUAUAUUAAAUAUAUUCAAAGUUUGGGUUCGGUAACAUUUUUUACAAUGUUUUGAGUCUCUUAUAUUUACCAAAUCUGCAUUUAUUUGAUUCAAAAAAACAAAACAAAACAAAACAAAAAUAAUAAUAAUUAAAUAAAAUACAAAUAAUUUUGUGAAAUAUUAUUAUAAAGUAAAAUACCUGUUUUCUCUUUAAAUAUAUUCUAACAUGUUAUUUAUUUCUGUGAUGCAAAGCUAAAUUUUCAGCAGCCAUUACUCCAGUCAUCAGUGUCACAUGAUCCUUCAGAAAAAGUCUGCCAUGCAUAAAUACUCAACUAGUUAAUAAGCUAAUAAUGUGAUAUCCUAUUAGAAAUAAAAAUACAGAUACUGGUUUUCACAAAUAUUCUUAUUGGAUAAAUAUAAGUCUUUAAUUACAUAAAUUUAAAUAAUAUAUUCAUAAUAAUAACAUGUCAAUAAUGUAGUUCGCAGAGCACGAUGCGAUUGAUUUCUCUGUAAAUGAUACUUAAGAUGUUACUUUACAAUUUGACUUAUUUUGUGAAGGCACCUUAAAAUGCUGCCUACAUAGAGUUUGAAACCACCUUCAAGCUUGUAUACAUACGCUUUAAUAAUAAGCUCUAUUGAGUUUAUUGAAGUAAACUGUGAAAUCAUGUGGGCUGAAUGUGCUUUCAUAACACCUCUUGAUUAAUCUAGCGCAUUUCGAUUGUAUUGAUGAAGAAACAUUGUGUGAAGUGAAUUCCCCCCUCUGGCUAGCGGGUGUGUGUGGUUAUCUCACUCAGAAGUAAACAACACACACACACACACGUCUACAGCAGAUGUUGGUUGUUCUGAUGAUGGCUGGAUAAGAACGCUGCAGCAUUACCUGUUAGAAACCAGCGUAAACAUUCUCCACCAUCUGCCACCAUCCAUCCAUCUGUUUCUUUAAAACUAGACCUUCAGUAACCUCAGGCAACAACGGCCCUGUGAUCUGCAGCACUUACGGCUAACGAUUCUGCCUCAGAAGGCAUUACGAGGGGAAUAAUGCAGACAGCUACAGUGUAAAUUAUUGAUAAACGCAAGUGGGAGAAACAAAGAUGCAAUGCUUUCUGUCCACUGACAGUUUAGGGAAGAAGAGGUGCGAAUGACUAGUGCGAUGCAUUCAUUUACUGCACAGCACCCUCUUGUGGCACUUCCUUUCUGCAUGCAUUGUCAUGCACAUGCUUACAGGUAAUGAUUUAAACAAACCCCAUAGAAUAGUUUUUUAACAUUAAGAUUGCUGUCAUUGUUUCAGUUGUUGUUUGUUAUAUACUCUGACCUGAUGUUUGGUGAUCUGCUGGGACGGUGCGUUGAUGCCCAGCUCCUCCAGCGGGUAGAUGAUCUGUCGUCUCGGGCUCACUGGCACCAUACAGUUCAACACCGCUGCCAGAGAGUCAGGAAUGACAUUCUGAGAGCAAAGAAGGACAAAAGAAGAAAUGUUUGUCAAGUCACGAACCAGAAAUCAAGACUUCUGAUAGAAAACAUUUGCUUGAAGAAACCCUGAGAUGUUAACUUAAUAUUUUAGUAAUAUUAUGAGACAUUUGCAUGAUAAAUGUUGUCUGAUGCUGGUUAAUGGUAACAUGACAGAUAAAAUAUGUAACGUGUAAGAGUUUUAUUUUGAUUUUAAAUUACCUUUUUAAUAAUUUAAUAAUGACUUUUUUUUAAAAUGGCAUUAUUUUUGUCAAAUAAAUAAUGACAUGGUG